GUGAAUCAUCGAAUCUUUGAACGCAUAUUGCACUCUCUGCUAUUCCGGAGAGUAUGCCUGUUUGAGGGUCAGCCUAAAAAAAAUCGACGUAGUCGCUGUUUCGCGGUGAUAUCCGUCGGAAAUUAGGCCAUCUUAAACCUUUGGGUUAUUUAGGCGGCUUAAAAUUUUCUUUACGAUUGCACUAUCUUUUCUAUUAUUUACUUCUUACUUUUAAGUUUG
Molecule: unclassified non-coding RNA, 219 nt
Filed under: Glomus sp.
Lineage: Eukaryota; Fungi; Glomeromycota; Glomeromycetes; Glomerales; Glomeraceae
Description: partial contains 5.8S ribosomal RNA and internal transcribed spacer 2
Rfam family: 5.8S ribosomal RNA (bases 1-71)
Source: RNAcentral